RNAcentral lists this ribosomal RNA (515 nucleotides) under uncultured bacterium. RNAcentral's name for it is "partial 16S ribosomal RNA". It matches the Rfam family "Bacterial small subunit ribosomal RNA", at positions 28 to 523 of the family's 1533-position model. The record is from RNAcentral.
GAUGAACGCUGGCGGCGUGCCUAAUACAUGCAAGUCGAGCGAAUGGAUUAAGAGCUUGCUCUUAUGAAGUUAGCGGCGGACGGGUGAGUAACACGUGGGUAACCUGCCCAUAAGACUGGGAUAACUCCGGGAAACCGGGGCUAAUACCGGAAAACAUUUUGAACCGCAUGGUUCGAGAUCGAAAGGCGGCUUCGGCUGUCACUUAUGGAUGGACCCGCGUCGCAUUAGCUAGUUGGUGAGGUAACGGCUCACCAAGGCAACGAUGCGUAGCCGACCUGAGAGGGUGAUCGGCCACACUGGGACUGAGACACGGCCCAGACUCCUACGGGAGGCAGCAGUAGGGAAUCUUCCGCAAUGGACGAAAGUCUGACGGAGCAACGCCGCGUGAGUGAUGAAGGCUUUCGGGUCGUAAAACUCUGUUGUUAGGGAAGAACAAGUGCUAGUUGAAUAAGCUGGCACCUUGACGGUACCUAACCAGAAAGCCACGGCUAACUACGUGCCAGCCGCCGCCGUAA